RNAcentral lists this ribosomal RNA (253 nucleotides) under uncultured bacterium. RNAcentral describes it as "partial 16S ribosomal RNA". It matches the Rfam family "Bacterial small subunit ribosomal RNA", at positions 524 to 776 of the family's 1533-position model. The record is from RNAcentral.
UACGAAGGUGGCAAGCGUUGUUCGGAAUCACUGGGCUUAAAGAGCACGUAGGCGGCCUCUCAAGCGCUUUGUGAAAUCCCUCGGCUCAACCGGGGAAUUGCUGGGCGAACUGUGAGGCUUGAGGCAAGUAGGGGUGCAUGGAACUCUUGGUGGAGCGGUGAAAUGCGUAGAUAUCAAGAGGAACGCCGGAGGCGAAAGCGGUGCACUGGGCUUGUCCUGACGCUGAGGUGCGAAAGCUAAGGGAGCAAACGGG